This 6623-nucleotide long non-coding RNA is filed under the name Olea europaea (common olive). RNAcentral describes it as "long non-coding RNA (OEUR_LNC002241)". Lineage: Eukaryota; Viridiplantae; Streptophyta; Magnoliopsida; Lamiales; Oleaceae. The record is from RNAcentral.
GGAUGAAUUUUCUUAAUUGGCAUGGGUCACAAGCACAGUUGUUUGUGACAGAGCCAGAGCUAAUCAAAGAAAUACUGAUGAAUAGAGAAGGUUUCUACCCGAAAAUGGAAAUGGAAGGGCAUGCUAAGAACCUGCUAGGUGAAUCUCUUAUAACGAAUGAGGGUGAAAAAUGGGCAAAGAUACGGAAACUGGCAAACCAUACUUUCCAUGCAGAGAGUCUAAAGGUAUAUCUUAGAAAUUAUGUGCAUAUUUGAUAUGACGCCGUACUAGACUUUAUAAUAUAAUGAACAAUAUUUUCGCUUCUUUUUGUACCAUAUUAUGGCUUCUAAUGUGAAGGGCUUAUCUUUAUGUAGAGUAUGGUUCCGGAAAUGAGUUCAGGCGUUGAGAUGCUGCUUGAGAGGUGGAAAGGUCAUAUCGGAGAAGAGAUCGACGUGUUUAAAGAGUUUGGAUUGUUAACAACCGAAGUAAUUUCAAGGACAGCAUUCGGAAGUAGCUACAUCGAAGGAGGCCAUAUAUUUGAGAUGGUGGCAAAGUUGACAGAAAUAACUGUUAGAAAUAUUUACAGAGUCAGAUUUCCUGGCAUAAGGUAUGUUACAUACGGUUGUGCUCUAUGUACAUAAUGAUUUAAGUAAUGGUUUACAUACACAUAAUGUGGUGAGAUGUGAUUGGGCAUAAUUUCUUCAUCUAGAUUAAGGGAAAAAAAGAAAAGAAAAAAGGAACUGCACUACUCUUUUUUAGGCAUCUCAUCUGUAUGUAAAUUAUUAUGUAAUUUCAUUAUGUACAAGCAUCAUCAUUCUAUUAUAUAUUCAAAAUAUUAUAUUCAAAUAAUGCAACUAAAAUUUUAUGACUAAUUGAUCAUCCGUUUUUGUAAACAUCUGCAGUAUGCUAUUAAAGUCAGAUGAUGAGAUCAAAGCAGAGAAACUCAAAGAAGGAAUAAAAAGUUCCAUCUUUGAGCUUGUAAAGAAGAGGGAAAAAGUGAAAAAUAACGGAGAAUUUGAAGAUUUCGGAAGUGAUUAUCUUGGACAACUGUUGAAAAUUUUUCAUGAAGCUGAUACAAAAAAGAGGAUUACAAUUGAACAGAUGAUUGAUGAGAUCAAAGCAAUGUAUGGUGCUGGACAUCUUACAACUACAAGCUUACUUUCAUGGUGUAUUUUUCUACUGGCAAUCCAUACUGAUUGGCAAGAGAAAGCAAGAGAAGAGGUGUUUGGAAUAUUUAGCAGUGAAAAACCGAAUUCAGAUGGCAUUGCACGAAUGAAAAUAGUAAGCCUUAUUCCCCUUAUUCCCUUUACAUUUGGGGUUGGCAUCGUGAAUCCUUUUAUACGACUCCGUGGGAUUUACUACUACAUCUACCCCUACCUAGCUAACCUAUUUUACUAAGAUCAUAUCACUCUUUCUCUAGUUACUAAUAAAAUAGCAAACUACAUGUUCUUGUCAGUUAAAAAUUUUUAUUUCGCCUUUUCGAUUAGUUUAUUUCUAGUAGUUCUUUCUUUAGCAAUCACAAUCGACCAUGUUAGCCCUCUUCUAAAGUGUUUGACGAAGAUCACAAAUAACUCAUGCUCAGUAGGCCGGUACAGUUUAUUAAUUUCAUAUUAUUUUUUGACAUGUAGAUGAAUAUGAUUAUCAACGAGUGUCUCAGACUAUAUCCUCCAGUUCUCACUUUAACAAGAAAAGUACAGCAGGGAGUUAAACUAGGGAAUCUGAACCUUCCAGGCAAUAUCAACAUCUUCAUUUCAAUUCUGGCACUGCAUCACAACCCUCAAAUCUGGGGCAAAGAUGUUCAUAUAUUCAAACCAGAGAGAUUUGCCGGGGGAGUUGCUAAAGCUACAAACAAUAAUGUUGCUGCAUUCUUUCCCUUCGGGGUGGGGCCUCGAACUUGUGUAGGCUUAAACUUCACCACCAAUGAAGCCAAAAUUGCACUUUCAAUGAUUCUGCAGCGUUACAAAUUCUUGUUAUCUCCUAAUUAUGUCCACUGCCCUGCUGAUAUUUUCAUUCUUACUCCAAAACAUGGGGUUCAAGUCAUUCUCCAAGCAAUUUAAAAGGAGAGAAGUGUUUCACUUCAAGGAUGACAGUAUUUAUAUGGUAGACAUAUAAAUUUUCUGCAAUUAUGUUUAGUAUCAUAAUGUAAAGUAUAAUGUUGGAAAACCUGUUCCAUAUUGCCAAAGAAAUGUGAAGCUAACUGCAUGUUUGAUUAAGCUUAAAAAAUUUACUUAUAAGAAAAUUUUAAGAAUUUAUUUUAUUGCUUAAAAUCAGAAAUAUAAGUUACUUAUUUAAUGGUAAGAAUUUCUUAACAGGUAAUAAAUUUUAAUCCUUGUCUUACAAAGGCAUGUACACUCGGGCCUUAAUUACAACUGCCAGUUUUAUUAAUGUCUGUUAGGAUAUGCAGCAAUUCAAGAACUCCAGUCGAUUGAAGCCGGAAAAAUGAAUAGAGAACAACUAUGUUUUGUUAAUCUACUGUUGAGCAAAGGAAGAAAAUUAUUUGAUGUAUUAUUGAUGAAAUGAGAUGCCCUUAUUUGAUGGUCAUUGUUUGGGGAAAAAAUGUUUUGGAUAUUGAAUUUUUAAAGAAUGCGUGAUUAAAAAAUAGAGACAAGUUUUAAGUUUAUAUACAUAAUAUUUCAUCACGUAAAUUUGUAUUUGAAAAUAAAUAUGUAGAAAAAAGAGUUUGGAAUUACAUGCCAUCAAACAUGGCUAAAGAAUUGAUAGGCAUUCAUAGAGCAAUCAUACUAUUUGUACAGUAUUUUUUUACAAUGUCAAUUGACAAUACACGCUUGACAACAUCACAUUAUCUAUUUUAAAAACCAUUUUUUAAAUUAACAGUCCAAAUUUUGACAACAUCAAUAGUAUCAUCCACAAUUGUCAACAAUAAUUGUACAAAUAACUUUAUUCUUCAUCGAGGCCUACUUUUACCUAAGUGCUAAAAGAUUGUUUGAGUGUUUUUUGAAAGCCUAGAAGCCCUAUUUGGAACUGAAAAAACACUUCUGAUUGAAUAGUGAUUGAUUAGUUGUAGUAAAAAUGUACACGAAGAAGCUUUUUAAGUUGUUUUUGAGAAGUUAAGGGUGUGUUCCUUUUUCGUUUUGGGACCUUUUUUUGUUUUCAGUUUUUGAAAACGGUGAAAACACAUUCUCUUUCCAUUUUUGAUGUUCUUGAAGAACACAAAAGCAGCAAAGAAUUUUAUGCGUGAAGUCACAAAUAUUAAUCCCUAAUUGGAUUUUGACAUAUGCGCCAUAUAUGCGGGACAUAUUUUGAAUAUGAAAAAGUCCGAAAUACAGAAAAAUGAACUUUUCUUUUUUCUUUUAUUAAAAUUGUCAUGUAUACGUAUAUGAUUCGGACGCGUGGCGUCCUCCACUCCCAUAUAUCAAGUAUACGUGACUGAUUGGUUGGUACAUGUUCGUUCAAUUUAAUUAAUUCCACUACUAGGGACGGAUGGGGACUGAGCUGGGCUAUAGUCCCCUCUCCCCCCCCCCCCCCCAAAGGCCCCAAAAAAAUUUUUUUUNNNNNNNNNNNNNNNNNNNNNNNNNNNNNNNNNNNNNNNNNNNNNNNNNNNNNNNNNNNNNNNNNNNNNNNNNNNGGGGGGGGGGUGGGGGGGGGGAGGGGGGGCUGGGCUGGGUUGUAGUCCCCCGCAAGGCCCAAGAAUUUUAUUUUUUUUGGUAAGGCAUUUUUCAUUUUUUUUUUUUUUUGCAAAAUUAGUUUUUUUUUUGUAAUUUUUUUUUCGCGUAUUAACCCGGCUUGAAAUUUUGUAGCCUGAUCUUGGAUCUAAUCCUGAUCUGUCCCUGUCCACUACAAUCUACAAUAAAUUAUAACUCUUCUAAUAUAAUUUAUCACGAUUCUUAUUUUGAAGCCAUUAAAGGGAUCUCAUCGGAUCCAAUUAAACUAAGCUCCAUUAAAUUAAAUUUGACCCCGAUUAUCUCUUGAUGGAUCAAAAGAACUAGUUAAUCUCGUUCUAUUCCAUUAAAGAACAAGAUUGCACGAUCAAUCUAAUUGAAACGAUUGAAACUGAAUGUUUGGUGGGAAUUAAAAUUAGAUUUUUAGUAGAUUGUGAUAAAAGUUUUUGAAAUGCGUGGUUAAAAAGUUGUGAAAUUUAUGAAAGAUUUGAUUAAUAUUGAUUGUUUGACUUUGACUUACAUUAAAAUCAUAUUUUAAUUUAAACCAAACAUGCACAUAUUUAUAUUAUCUUAUAUAUCGUUUUUACAUAACACCCGUCGACCAUUUCAAAUAUAUAGAACAAGGUAGAGAUAACCAAAAUGUGCUUUCCAAAUAUUCAAAGAUUCUCAAGUUCCAUUUUUUAAUUUUUUUUAUCUAAAAAUAUCAUGUGAUCACGUCACGAUAUUAAUUCAACAAUUAAUAUUGAAUUAUUAAACUCAGAUUUGAAUGUCUAAUAGAAAAUCUUGUGAGAUCAUGAUCGUACCCAUUAGAUAAAUGAUGAUUUCAUAUUACAUAUAUAUGUUCCCUGUUAAUUCAUUUUAAUAUCUAAGGCAAUGAAAUAUUGAUCAACAAUUUGAUCUCACCUAUUGAUACCUGAAAUAAGUUUAAGUUAGUAAUCAAAGUUUGUUACCCGUUUAUGACUGAAUUCCCAUAUAUGAUAGUCAAGUGAAAUUUGUAUGAUCAAUAUCACAAAUUAGAUUUCUCGUGAUCUAGUCAAUUACAUUCAAAAAGUACUCUCAAUCUUCCUACAAUCAAAGAUAGACUUUAAUAAAAUCGAGACAAUCUUAUCAAAGUAAAGUUUUCAUCUUUGUUUAUCGAUCAUGGACUUAUCAAAACAAAGUGUUUGUCUUAAUUUAUCAAUCUUGUACUUCAAAUUUUUAAAUCAAAUCUUUCCUACUUUAAUAACCCGUACACUCGCUUUCUACUAUCAAACUAAUAUACAAACAAAUGCAAGCUCAAAUCAAUGCACUCAAUUACAUCGAAAUAAAUUAUAUUUUAUUUCAAAAUAUCACGAUUACUGAUAUAUUUACUCAUAAGUAGAGAUGACAAUGGGCCGAGCUCGGCUCGUGCUCAAGGGGUGAGCUUGGCUUGGCUCGGCUCACGAGCUCGUGUGUUCACGAGCCAUGAGCUCUAUAGAUUUUUUAUUUUUUAUUUUUUUAAUUUAUUAUUAUUAUUUUUUGGCAAUUUUCAAACUUUUCUUCACACUUUUUACGAGCCCACGAGCCGAGGGCUCGUGAACUUUACGAACCAAGCACUCUACUCAUUGGUUCCCACCCCUGCUCGGCUUGUGCUCGGGCUCGUCAUUUGACGAGUUGAGUUUUAUUGAGUAGAGUAGCCAUUCGACCCGUUUGACAUCCCUACUCAUAGGCAAAUACUAUCCAAUACCAAUAUGUAAUAGUUUGUCACCAAUUCUUGGCAUAUAUUUCAUGUUUUUUACCGUUAACUUUAAUUAUGCAAUGCCUAAGGAGUGAGAAUUCAUAGAUCAUAGAGACGACUAGCAAAAAGGGGGCUUCUAAUCAAACUUUGAAUUCUUCGGGUUGCUGAGAUUUCGAAUAACGUCCAUGAUCAAGGGGUCAAGCGGAUGGCUUUUUCACUCUAGAAUCUUGCAUAUUUUAAUGAAAAAUUUUGCGUGACGAAAUCCAUGAUCUCAUCUUGUCUUUCAGUCUUCAUUAUAUACUAAGUUUAAUUAUUACUAAACCAAAAUAUAGGCAAUUAUUGUACUCGUCGAUCUCGGAUGAAUUGGACUCAUCCAUUGCUCCAAAACUCUCAUUAUCUCUGAAAACAUAAUAAAUGAAUGUGGUCCACGGCCUAAAACUCAAUUAAAGCCCGUCUCCGUUGCUCAACUGUGUAAUCAGUUUUUUCUUGAAUAAAGUUCCCAUUCAAUCUACAGUUUCUCUAAUGAAGCCAAAGCUGGGAAUUGGACUUAUGUGUCCUAUAUUUCUAACCAACAGAUUCCUGGCACCCUAGCCAUGGCCAAAAGUCUAGUACAUAUACAAUCCCAGGGAACUUCAAGAUUGAAUGAAAAAUGGAUUUAGUUACAGUUAUAUUAUUCUCUAUUUGCAGUACUUUAUGCUUCCAUUUUAUUCUGAUUCUAAUUAGAUUCAUUGAUAAGGUAUGGCGGACUCCAAUUCAACUACAGACUAUGAUGAAAUCACAGGGAAUCAGAGGUCCUCAAUACAGAUUUCCUCAUGGGAGUACCAAAGAAAUCUCUAAAAUGAGGAGCCAAUCUAUGGAAAAGCCAAUGGAAAUGUCACACAGUAUAUUUCCUAGAAUACAGCCUCAUAUUUAUUCGUGGACGAAAACUUAUGGUAAAUUUAGCUUCUUAUUAGAAUUUCUUGUUUUCUUAUUUGAUUUCAGCAAUGAACUGAGCAUAGUGGUGGAAAAGCUCUGUGUAAAUUUAAUCUCUUACUUGAAUGUUUUACUUUCUUGUUGACAGGGAUGAAUUUUCUUAAUUGGCAUGGGUCACAAGCACAGUUGUUUGUGACAGAGCCAGAGCUAAUCAAAGAAAUACUGAUGAAUAGAGAAGGUUUCUACCCGAAAAUGGAAAUGGAAGGGCAUGCUAAGAACCUGCUAGGUGAAUCUCUUAUAACGAAUGAGGGUGAAAAAUGGGCAAAGAUACGGAAACUGGCAAACCAUACUUUCCAUGCAGAGAGUCUAAAGGUAUAUCUUAGAAAUUAUGUGCAUAUUUGAUAUGACGCCGUACU